GUACAGAAGAGCUCCGAGCAAAGACAGUGUUGGUUUUUGAAGUUCCAGCUGAAAGGCGUCCAUCUAGACUCUUCCCAGCUGUCUGCCAAGCUGCUGCACUACAUGAAGCAAGUCCUGCUCUAAGGGGGGGGGUGGACAUUCUGACCAUCUGCUGAAGAGCAUAGCAAAAGACGAGCACUUGCAUCUAAUAAUGAAGAGUCUGCUUGUCUGCAGGGUGUGCUGCUGUCCAGUCUAGCAUAUGCGCUCGCCAAUAGCAGCCAAUGGCGGAAUCUCUUGGUGGUGUAUGCAGAGUGGAUCCCCAGUGAGGUUACACCACGUUGCCACAGUGCUAAAACAAACAUUACACCCUGCUGCAAAGUCUUGCACCUGUGCGGGACUUAGCCGUGUCAGGAGGCCAGACAGGGCUACACCUGCCACCAUCACUGCCUUCCAAACCAAAUAAAAGGUUUUAAUUACCGCUGUCAUUUACAGAAGUUUGAAUUUUCUUGUAAAUAGCCUUUUUUUUUUUUAGCACAAAUUGCACAGUUAGAUAAUCUUAACACUGGUGUA
Long non-coding RNA from Girardinichthys multiradiatus, 549 nucleotides. RefSeq lists it as uncharacterized. The record is from RefSeq and is a predicted model, not a curated record. The transcript is spliced from 3 exons. NCBI's taxonomy places the organism in Eukaryota, Metazoa, Chordata, Actinopteri, Cyprinodontiformes, Goodeidae.